RNAcentral lists this ribosomal RNA (198 nucleotides) under uncultured bacterium. RNAcentral describes it as "partial 16S ribosomal RNA". It matches the Rfam family "Bacterial small subunit ribosomal RNA", at positions 326 to 539 of the family's 1533-position model. The record is from RNAcentral.
ACGCUCGACACCUACGGGAAGCAGCAGUGGGGAAUAUUGCACAAUGGGGGAAACCCUGAUGCAGCGACGCCGCGUGAGCGAAGAAGUAUCUCGGUAUGUAAAGCUCUAUCAGCAGGGAAGAAGAUGACGGUACCUGACUAAGAAGCACCGGCUAAAUACGUGCCAGCAGCCGCGGUAAUCUGAGCGGGCUGGCAAGGC